RNAcentral lists this ribosomal RNA (489 nucleotides) under uncultured Coxiella sp. RNAcentral's name for it is "bacterial SSU rRNA". It matches the Rfam family "Bacterial small subunit ribosomal RNA", at positions 8 to 485 of the family's 1533-position model. Lineage: Bacteria; Pseudomonadati; Pseudomonadota; Gammaproteobacteria; Legionellales; Coxiellaceae. The record is from RNAcentral.
AGAGUUUGAUCAUGGCUCAGAUUGAACGCUGGCGGCAUGCCUAACACAUGCAAGUCGAACGGCAGCACAGUGCGUAGCAAUACGCAUGGGUGGCGAGUGGCGGACGGGUGAGGAAUGCAUCGGAAUCUACCCAGUAGCGGGGGAUAACCUGGGGAAACUCAGGCUAAUACCGCAUACGACCUACGGGUGAAAGCGGGGGACCGUAAGGCCUCGCACUAUUGGAUGAGCCGAUGCCGGAUUAGCUGGUUGGUAGGGUAAUGGCCUACCAAGGCUACGAUCCGUAGCUGGUCUGAGAGGACGAUCAGCCACACCGGAACUGAGACACGGUCCGGACUCCUACGGGAGGCAGCAGUGGGGAAUAUUGGACAAUGGGGGAAACCCUGAUCCAGCAAUGCCGCGUGUGUGAAGAAGGCCUGCGGGUUGUAAAGCACUUUCGGAGGGGACAAAAAGCGUCGGGCUAACACCCAGGCGUCUUGAUUAACCCUCAUA